RNAcentral lists this long non-coding RNA (1011 nucleotides) under Cicer arietinum (chickpea). RNAcentral's name for it is "long non-coding RNA (CARI_LNC002249)". The record is from RNAcentral. Lineage: Eukaryota; Viridiplantae; Streptophyta; Magnoliopsida; Fabales; Fabaceae.
CUUAUUAUACCUUAGUACCUACCUUCCUCACUGUCAUCACAAUAAUAAUACUCAACGGAUACACAUUUGUUUUGAUGAAUGAUGAUGACACACGUGCUAGCAAUGGUGGUGGAUGGUGUUAGUCACUUUGUUAAAACGCUUUGGGGUCUUCAAGAAAGGCGAUGGUCUUACACUUUUGAUGUUGUUACCUCUGCUGCGGUCUCCAUAACCGUGACAUUUGUGCUCUGUUUCUUGUCCAUUCAUAAUCAUAUACAAAGACGAGGAGGUGAUAUGGUAUUUGCCUCUUUCUGAUGUAAUGCAAUGUAACUACUCUCAGAACUAUAUGUUUCUUUUCUUAAUCAUUUAGCAAAUUUUUAUUAUUUAUAAGGUUUAUGUACAUUGUAUUGCCCAUGAUGUUAGUAAGCUAAAACUUUAUUUACGUCGAUGACUCGCACCCUUCCUCGGCAAGAAUAAGUGUUCACCAUAGGUAAGGCUUUAAAGAAAAAUUUGACUUAUUCAAUCCCGCCCUUUUAUUGAUGUAUGUUUUUGGUUCUAAAGAGUCUGGUGGUUAAUCUCACACUGGAGAGAGGGGUAUUCCCACUUCAAACUCACGGUCUAACAUAUUAAAUGUCAUUGGCUGUACUUAUGAGACAGCUCUGUUGAUAUUAUCCUAAUUUUUUUUUUCUUUUCACCUCUUGAUUUCAUCACUAUUAAUUAUGCAUUUUCAGACAGCCUUACUCUGUUGUUCAAGUUUCAAUACCACUAAACAAGAACCAAUAAAGGAGUAAGGCUUACCAUAUCAUAAGUACUCCUCUGUUCACCAUUUUAAAAGCACCCCAAACUCAGGAUCUCCUCCACGAACAAUACAUCUUCUGUUAAUAAGUAGCUUCCCAUCCACUAUAUGGAUUUUGAAUUAAUAGAUAGACAAUUUUCCCAAAUAUGAUUCCUUGUUCUCUUGUAAGUUCAAAGGUGUGGCUUUAUGCGGCUUUCUGACCAAACAAUUGCUUGAUUGUAAAAGUCAACAAAAGCUAG